Non-coding RNA from Planctomycetes bacterium RBG_13_63_9, 74 nucleotides. The record is from Rfam. Lineage: Bacteria; Pseudomonadati; Planctomycetota.
GGGCGUUUAGCUCAGUUGGUUAGAGCGCCAGCUCGACAAGCUGGAGGUCACUGGUUCGAGCCCAGUAACGCCCA